CAACAAUCCGAAGUUAGCUCAGGAAUAAUAUGAUGCUGAGAGAAAAAAACAACAAGCGGUGUAUCAAUCAUGGAAUGCGACGCUACGGAGCAUCGUUGGGAAUAAGCGACUAUGCAUUUUAGGACGUACUUGAUUUCAGACUAAUCCAGAAAAUACGACGAUUCCCGCCAGCGAGCCCGCCAUUUUCAAAAAGUCACAAAACCCCCACGGUAGAAUAAAUCAAACCCAACAACGUACAUGAUAAAAUGUAAAAGCGUAAGAGAAACAAAUUAGAGAUGAACAAGAUCGAAAAAUCUCCAACAAGACAAAUGCCUUCAGUGUCAGGGACGCCAAUGGCCGCCAAUGUCGGUACCGAUGUGACGCUACCCGUCUAUCGUAUGUAGAUGAGAUAAUCUAAAAAGCAUCGAACACUCAUCGUACAGGAAUAACCAACAUAGACGAGGAGUACAAGAAGAAAUGAAUAAACCAAAAGAAACAGCGCGACACGGAGAGGAAAAAAGAGAGAGUGAAACAGAAAGUACGAGCAAGAGAGAAAAAAGUCUUAAAUGAUUUUUCCUGAAUAUGGCGCGAGCCGCGCGGGCUCCUAUCCCUCGCGCAAUUCCGAACCGUCGUGAACUGCAGUUAUUAUAUUACGCGUACGAGAGAAAAUCCAAGUGAAAAAACACUACACGAUCACCAGUAAUGUAUCUUCGUCAGUAGG
Long non-coding RNA from Cephus cinctus (wheat stem sawfly), 700 nucleotides. RefSeq lists it as uncharacterized. The transcript is spliced from 3 exons. The record is from RefSeq and is a predicted model, not a curated record. Lineage: Eukaryota; Metazoa; Arthropoda; Insecta; Hymenoptera; Cephidae.